RNAcentral lists this ribosomal RNA (460 nucleotides) under uncultured bacterium. RNAcentral's name for it is "bacterial SSU rRNA". It matches the Rfam family "Bacterial small subunit ribosomal RNA", at positions 28 to 507 of the family's 1533-position model. The record is from RNAcentral.
GAUGAACGCUGGCGGCGUGCUUAACACAUGCAAGUCGAGCGGGGAUUUGAAAUAUCAUUUCCUAGCGGCGGACGGGUGAGUAACGCGUGGGCAACCUGCCCUAUGCAGGGGGAUAACAGUGAGAAAUCACUGCUAAUACCGCAUAAGCCACUUUAACUACACGGUGAAAGUGGGAAAGAUUUAUCGGCAUAGGAUGGGCCCGCGUCUGAUUAGCUAGUUGGAGAGGUAACGGCUCACCAAGGCGACGAUCAGUAGCCGACCUGAGAGGGUGAUCGGCCACAUUGGGACUGAGACACGGCCCAAACUCCUACGGGAGGCAGCAGUGGGGAAUAUUGCACAAUGGGCGAAAGCCUGAUGCAGCAACGCCGCGUGAAGGAAGAAGGCUUUCGGGUCGUAAACUUCUAUCGAUGGGGAAGAAGAAAUGACAGUACCCAAGUAAGAAGCCCCGGCUAACUACGUG